Molecule: non-coding RNA, 5384 nt
Organism: Macaca mulatta (Rhesus monkey)
Lineage: Eukaryota; Metazoa; Chordata; Mammalia; Primates; Cercopithecidae
Source: RefSeq, a predicted model, not a curated record
CUGGCCUCGUGAUCUGCCCGUCUCGGCCUCCCAAAGUGCUGGGAUUACAGGCGUGAGCCACCGCGCCCAGCCGCCGAGAUCAUUCUUGUUUUAAGAAAACCCACCAUUAUUUUCCUCUCUAGCCACAUGGAUUCUAAAACCUCCUCUUCUGAGCUGUAAUCAGAAUGCAGAGAAGUAAUACAAGGUUAGGGCCCGGGACUCCUUCUCCCACCUCUCCCAGCAGAGACCCAGAAUUUUUUAAAAAAUGACCUUGGUCUUCAGGGAAAGAACUUCCCACCACAAUGAGCAGCCAUGCCCAGCCUACCCUUGACUGUGGGGCUUACUUAGCUCAUCCAUCCAAAGGCUAUUCCUGGGAUACCUAGUAGGAAUCCAGGCAUGGAGCUAGUGCAAGCAUAAUGAUAAGAGUAAGCCCAGCAGUCACGGGCCCCGGUAAUAACCAGGUAAACAAAUAAACAGAACUAUAAACUGUGAUGACAACAAUUCAUCUGUCCACAGAUAUUCACUGAAUGUCCACUGUGUGCCUGGCACUGUUCCAAGUGCUGAAGAAAAAUGAAGAAAACAAAAAUCCGUGCCCUUGUAGAGGAGACAUUGUAAUGUGGAAGAUGACAUAAUGAAAAAGAAUGAAGAACAAAAGAGAAAAGUAACAUGUCACUUGAUGACAAGUACUGUGGAAUGAGACUGUCAUCUAUAUGAAGCACAGAAAGUGGAACAUGGCAACAUCUCAGCCAAAAGACCUGGCAGACACCACCUUGGCCAAGGGAUCAAGGUUGGCAUCGCCGGCUGUAAGCAGUGCUGACAUCUCGUUCUCUUCGAUAUGGCGUCAUGAGCAGGCUGCCUCGCUGGUGGGAUCUUCCUCCAAACCCAGAACUUCAGUCCAAUCACGAGAAAAUGACAGCCAAUCCCAAGUUCAGGGACAUUUGGCAAAAUACCCCACUACUCCUACUUAAAAGUGUCGAGGUCAUGAAAGGAUGGAAACCCUGGGAAAUCGUCAUUGGCCGGAGGAAACUAAGCAGACACGAUGACUAAAUGCAAUGUAGAAUCCUGGGACAGAAAAGGACAUUAGUGGGAGACCUGGUGAAACCCAAGUGAUUUUUCCCUGUUGGUGAGCUCAUUCCGUGGGAGGGCCUGGUGGGUGUUGGAGAAGCAGCUGGGGAUAGAGAUAUUCACUGAAUGCCCACUGUGUGCCUGGCACUGUUCCAAGUGCUGAAGAAAAAUGAAGAAAACAAAAAUCCGUGCCCUUGUAGAGGAGACAUUGUAAUGUGGCAAGAUGACAUAAUGAAAGAGAAUGAAGAACAAAACAGAGAAGUAAAAUGGAUUGCAGGUCCACAGUACUGAUCCUUCUCUGCCACCCUUCUCCAAGACCACCUUGGUGGGAGUAAGGGGCUCUAAGGGGACAACAGACACAGGAACCAGACACAAGACACAAGACACUUUUGACUCCCAGGAGAACCUAGUGUGGGCAUCCAUACGCCCUUCCUGAUGGUGACUUUUUACACGGACAUGCAGAGUACAGUUAACCAGCUGCUCCUGCACACGUCUGGGUCUCUACUCACACAUCUGUGCACAUGCGUGAGUGCGUGCGUGCGCGCACACACACACACACACACACACACAGCCUCCUGGAGCACUGUGGAUUCUGGGUGGCUAACUCAGCUACAGCCUCUGGUUGUACUGAUCUGAGCACCCAUUGCCUGCUGGGGUGGGGAGAGGGCAGGCACUUUCCCUGCGUGACCCCGUUUAACCCUCUCAGUGCCCCACUGAGGUGGUCCCUGUUGUCUCCAAUGGACAGAGGAAGAACCUGAGUCAGGAACCCAGAGCGGUGUCUCCACUAAGUAGAAGCCUCUGUUUCUCUCCCAGCCUCUCCCAGAGGAGCUAUUCUGAAGUGUGUGGAUUUGAUCAGGAUAAUCAAGGUAAAUGAUCCUUAUCUUGAUACAUCACAAAUGUUAGGGUUCAAGGCUCUGAGGGUGGAGCGUGGGUGGAGUCUCUGCUGCCUGGUAUCCUAAGCUGGGUGAUUGCAAGCGGACACAAUGUGACCGCCUCUCGGGCCACGCAGGGGGAAUGAAUGUAACGAGGCCUGGCUUACAGGGUUGUUGAAGGCUCAGGGGAGACCAGGCAAAAAAAAAAAAAAAAAGCUAUGACCUGCGACCUCCCUAUAGCAGUGUUUCUCAAACUCUGAUUAACGUUACUUGAGGAACUUGUUAAAAAUACGUAUUCCUGGCCCUGAUCAGAUAAAUCAGGACAAGUCAGAAUAUUUGACGCAGAGUCUUUAAGCUCCCCCUUGGGAUUCAAAUGCACACAGAUUUUUGGUGCUUUGCCACCUACAGUACAAGAAAGGGCAGGACUGUCCUGUUCAGUGCACUAUGACCUGGGCGCUCAGGCCCCAAUAACUCCCCUACUCCCCCAGCUCCCUGCGGUGCCACCCACCUAGCUUUCAUGCCUGAGGGUGGUCCUCAGACUCCUCCUAGAACAGGCCCAGAGGCUCUUAGUUAUGUAAGUAUCCAUUCCUCCAAUCACUGCAGAGCACUCACCAGGUAACAAGCACACACGCCCAGGCGAGCUCCCCAUGCUCAUCCCCACGUUGACGUCUCAGACUCUACAAGUCUUCAGCUGCUGCCUAGGACUCUGUAAGUCCUUGAGCCUGGGACCCCCUACCACACACAAGAGCUGGCAUGCCCUACAGGCGGGGAAGUGCUGACCAUAUACACCCAGGAAGUCGGAAUUCCAGAUAAUGAGUUAACUUUUUAACGGAAUUCCAGAUAAUGAGUAACUUUUUAGCACAAGUACCCAUGCCCUAUGAAUUGUGAGGUGUUUUUGUUUGUGAAAUCGGACAAUUCUACCUGUAGGGAACAGGGAUGAUUGAGAAGCAGCUGCUCUGAUGGCCAGAAGCCAACAGCCUUCCCUGCAGAGAUGCGGGAAAUCCCGGGGAGAGCGGGAAAGGUCAGGCACUGCACUGGCAGUGGGAGUGGAGCUUGGGUCAGAGGAGGGUCAGUGCCAUGAGGAAAGACCCUGGGAGGCUUCCUGCUACAUAAUGUGAGGGCCGAGAGCAUAACAAAAGAUUGACUUAUCCAUGAUUGCAUCAAACUGAAGCCUGAGACAGAACAUUCUGUGAGGUAGCCUUGUUCACUGCAGAGGAGCUGACUCACACGGUUUUGUCCAGGAAGUUGCAAGCUGUGCCAGGAGUAGCCAACCUGGGAGUAGCAAAGAGGCUUUUCUAAUGCAGGUUUUCCCAGAGCUCCUCUCCCUCCCUCCCCUGGCCAAAGAUGAGCUCUGCAGGGAGAGCCGGCUCUAGGGGACUUUGCUCCUAGGCAUCCCAGCUGCAGAGAUUGGUGGUGCCAGUCCAGAAAGGGGGGUCUUCUGGACCAGGGGAUGAUGGGGUUGGGCCUCAGGGCACUGGGAGGCCAGUAGGGGUGCUUCAAACUGGCCAGUGACCUGAAGGACUCAUAUUCUUAAGGAUAUCCUGGUGGCCACGUAGAAAACAGUCUGGUGGGAUGAGGGUGGAAGUGAGGACCAGCUCAGAGGUCACUAAGGGUGCAGCCAGAUAGGCUGGGACCCACAUGGGCAGCAGAGGUGGGGAGUAGGGAUGUGGAGGGGGAGACCCAGCCCCACGCUGGGGGCCUCAAGGGAAGGUGGAGGCUGAGCCAGGAGAAGAGGCACCACCCACUGACGUCCUGCUUGCUGAAUAACUGUGAGGAGCAGGAUGAGGAGCAAAAGAGCAAGCGAGGAAGUCAAGGGGGUUAUUUGGGUGCUAUGCUCCAUGUGAGGGUAGCUAAGUACAGGUGCCAAGGAGGCACCUUUGUCAAAAUCCCAGCUCAAAAUGUUAGUUACCAGAGGCCUCUGAUAAAGACAGAGCCACAGGUAAAACGCAGCAUGCACAACCCCUCAACCCUAAAAUCAGAAGGCUAUCUGUGUCCUGGCGAGGAGAGAAGCACAAUUGAUCAUCCACACCACCAGGAUGCAAGCCCAUUAUUUCUGAUGCAAAACCCAGGCUCCUUCCAGGGCUGGCACAGAGAACAGCCAGAGGUGUCACGAGGCCUCCACCUUCCCCAGUUGGGCAAUCUCAGAGGGUAUCUCCUUAUCUCUGAGAUCACUGUGUCUUCAUGUCCAGGCUGGGCCCAGGUCACCUGGGAGUGGAGCUGUGUUUGCAGAGAAGGAACUAGGGUGGACGUCGAAGCCAACCUGCCUGGUUCAGAAUCCUGGCUCAGCUUGGCACUUACCAACAGUGGCAGUGAGGCCUUGGGAAUGAGCUUCACCUCUCUGCACUUCUGUUUCCUCAUAUCUAGAGUUGAGGGAGUGAUAGGACCCGCCUCAGUGGGUGUUCAUGUGGAUUCCAUGGGCUCUUAAGCAUAAAGAACAGAGCAGCUAUGAUGACCAUCAUCUAUGUCACUGGGCCACCGGGGAUGAGGGAAGAAGAGGCAGAUCUACUUAAGUACAAGGAAGGUGGAGGAAGGUAGUAAGGCAUCAGCCAUGUGGCACAGAUUGUAUUAUGAGAUUGACUGGUUUUCUUACGUCACCCUCAAAUUUCCCUCCUUACCCGCUUCCCAUGAUUCCUGAGAGUCAAGAGGAUGGGAGCUGUGGAAUGUGUUAGUCAUCCACUGCUGCAGAGCCAGUCGCCCAUGAUUAUCUCACGGAGUUCCUGAGGGUCAGGAAUCCAGGAGGGGCUAAGCUGGGUGGUUCCAGCUCGAGGUCUCUCUUGAGCUUGCUGUCAAGCUGUUGGCCAGGGCAAUCCCAGAAGGCUCACUCAUGAUGCUGUUGGUAGAAGGUCUCAGUUCCUCACCAUGUGGGCUACUCACAGGGCUGCUCAAAUGUGACUUAGAAAGAGAGAGAGAGAGAGGAAGAGAGAGAGAGAGAGAGAAAGAGAGAGAGAGAGACAGAGGUUUAUUUGUUUGGUGUUCAGGACUGAGAGAGAGGGUAUAGAGAGAAAGCACAAAAGAGAGAGAGAAAAAAAGAGAAAGGCAGAGAGAGAGAUAGAGACAGAGAGACAGAGACAGAGACACAGAUGAUUGUUUAAUGUCCAGGACCAAGAGAGAGAAAAAAGAGAGAAAGCACAAAAGAGAGGGGAAAAGAGAAAGACAGACAGAGUGAGAGACAGAGAGAGAGAACCCACAGCAGAAGCAGCAGUCUUUUUAUAACCCAGUCUCAGAAAUGAUACCCCACCCCUUCUGCCUUAGAAGGAAGUCACUAAGUCCAGUCCAAUGCAAGGGGAGGUAAUUAAGCUCUAUCUCUUCAAGGAAGUGGUAUCAGACAUUUGUGGACACAUUUGUAAAAUGACCAGAGCAUUAGAACCUCAGAAUCCAGCAGAGUAAUUGCCCUAAUAGGAGAUGAUUAAUGUUUUUAAAAAUGGAUGGACUAGCUGAAGGAAUAAAUGAACGACAGAGUGAGCAGGA